GGAAGUAGUACGACUCAUAGAUACUAUGUCUCUAUUUGGCUGGUGUUGGGGAAAAAACCUGAGCUGCUGGCCAAGGAAAUGAUCCCCUGUGCAAAUCUGGCAUCCAGAUGAGUGUAUCUUCAGAGGUCAUCCACUUCUGCAACUGUCCCAGGUGCUCAUGGUGACCAGAAGAGAGUAUUGAAUCCCCUGGAACUGGAAUUACAGACAGCUGUGAGCCACUUGAUCUGGGUCCUGGGAACUGAACCCAGGUCCUCUUCGAGAGACCCCAAUGCUCUUAACUGCCCCAACUUGAACAGCAACCCUUCUUCGGUGAGAUAAAGAAGUUUGCCCUAGACAUUUGUCCUAUCCUAGUCUGAAGAUGGACUUACUGGCUACAAAGUGGCCUCACCCUUUGCCACUGGCAGGAUCAAGGUAACA
This 417-nucleotide long non-coding RNA is filed under the name Cricetulus griseus (Chinese hamster). RNAcentral's name for it is "lncRNA (ENSCGRG00015036722.1)". Lineage: Eukaryota; Metazoa; Chordata; Mammalia; Rodentia; Cricetidae. The record is from RNAcentral.